RNAcentral lists this transfer RNA (73 nucleotides) under Monodelphis domestica (gray short-tailed opossum). It matches the Rfam family "tRNA". Rfam says of the family: Transfer RNA (tRNA) molecules are approximately 80 nucleotides in length. The record is from Rfam by way of RNAcentral. Lineage: Eukaryota; Metazoa; Chordata; Mammalia; Didelphimorphia; Didelphidae.
GCCCUGUUAGCUCAGUUGGUAGGGCUUGAGACUCUUGAUCUCAGAGUCCUGGGUUUGAGCCCCAUGUUGUGUU